UACGUAGGGUGCAAGCGUUGUCCGGAAUUAUUGGGCGUAAAGCGCUCGUAGGCGGUUUGUUGCGUCCGCUGUGAAAACUCGGGGCUUAACCCCGAGCCUGCAGUGGAUACGGGCAGGCUAGAGGUAGGUAGGGGAGAAUGGAAUUCCCGGUGUAGCGGUGAAAUGCGCAGAUAUCGGGAGGAACACCGGUGGCGAAGGCGGUUCUCUGGGCCUUACCUGACGCUGAGGAGCGAAAGCGUGGGGAGCGAACAGG
RNAcentral lists this ribosomal RNA (253 nucleotides) under uncultured bacterium. Its description in RNAcentral is "partial 16S ribosomal RNA". It matches the Rfam family "Bacterial small subunit ribosomal RNA", at positions 524 to 776 of the family's 1533-position model. The record is from RNAcentral.